GUGUGUUUCACGUUAGUAAUACAAUAAUGUAGGAAUUGGGCAUGUUUCUUCUUCAAGUAACGUAGACAGGAUGCUUUCGUUGAUGUGGAAUAGAGCUCUGAAUAUUGGAAAAUCAAAUAUUGUCUAAUCAUUUGAUUUACAUACACUGGUCUGUAAGCAGCUGUAUAUUUUUUAAGAUGGUAGCGUUCUAAUGGUGGAACAUUAAAG
Molecule: non-coding RNA, 207 nt
Organism: Pelobates cultripes (western spadefoot toad)
Lineage: Eukaryota; Metazoa; Chordata; Amphibia; Anura; Pelobatidae
Source: the annotation of a GenBank genome assembly